AGUAGGGCCAUUUUUACAUCAAAUUGGCUGUAGAAAUUGAACGGAAACACUCAGGAGGGCCAUUUUUAUAUCAAAUUGGCGGUAGAAAUUAAAGGAGAACCCGCAGGAGGGCCAUUUUUACAUCAAAUUGGCUGUAGAAAUUGAACGGAAACACUCAGGAGGGCUAUUUUUAUAUCAAAUUGGCUGUAGAAAUUGAACGGAAACCCGCAGGAAGGCCAGUUUU
This is a long non-coding RNA of Dalotia coriaria, 223 nucleotides long. RefSeq lists it as uncharacterized. The transcript is spliced from 5 exons. NCBI's taxonomy places the organism in Eukaryota, Metazoa, Arthropoda, Insecta, Coleoptera, Staphylinidae. The record is from RefSeq and is a predicted model, not a curated record.